RNAcentral lists this ribosomal RNA (1000 nucleotides) under Staphylococcus aureus. RNAcentral describes it as "bacterial SSU rRNA". It matches the Rfam family "Bacterial small subunit ribosomal RNA", at positions 109 to 1092 of the family's 1533-position model. The record is from RNAcentral. Lineage: Bacteria; Bacillati; Bacillota; Bacilli; Caryophanales; Staphylococcaceae.
AGUAACACGUGGAUAACCUACCUAUAAGACUGGGAUAACUUCGGGAAACCGGAGCUAAUACCGGAUAAUAUUUUGAACCGCAUGGUUCAAAAGUGAAAGACGGUCUUGCUGUCACUUAUAGAUGGAUCCGCGCUGCAUUAGCUAGUUGGUAAGGUAACGGCUUACCAAGGCAACGAUGCAUAGCCCACCUGAGAGGGUGAUCGGCCACACUGGAACUGAGACACGGUCCAGACUCCUACGGGAGGCAGCAGUAGGGAAUCUUCCGCAAUGGGCGAAAGCCUGACGGAGCAACGCCGCGUGAGUGAUGAAGGUCUUCGGAUCGUAAAACUCUGUUAUUAGGGAAGAACAUAUGUGUAAGUAACUGUGCACAUCUUGACGGUACCUAAUCAGAAAGCCACGGCUAACUACGUGCCAGCAGCCGCGGUAAUACGUAGGUGGCAAGCGUUAUCCGGAAUUAUUGGGCGUAAAGCGCGCGUAGGCGGUUUUUUAAGUCUGAUGUGAAAGCCCACGGCUCAACCGUGGAGGGUCAUUGGAAACUGGAAAACUUGAGUGCAGAAGAGGAAAGUGGAAUUCCAUGUGUAGCGGUGAAAUGCGCAGAGAUAUGGAGGAACACCAGUGGCGAAAGCGACUUUCUGGUCUGUAACUGACGCUUAUGUGCGAAAGCGUGGGGAUCAAACAGGAUUAGAUACCCUGGUAGUCCACGCCGUAAACGAUGAGUGCUAAGUGUUAAGGGGUUUCCGCCCCUUAGUGCUGCAGCUAACGCAUUAAGCACUCCGCCUGGGGAGUACGACCGCAAGGGUGAAACUCACAGGAAUUGACGGGGACCCGCACAAGCGGUGGAGCAUGUGGUUUAAUUCGAAGCAACGCGAAGAACCUUACCAAAUCUUGACAUCCUUUGACAACUCUAGAGAUAGAGCCUUCCCCUUCGGGGGACAAAGUGACAGGUGGGGCAUGGGUGUCGUCAGCUCGUGUCGUGAGAUGUUGUGGUUAAGUCCCGCAA